RNAcentral lists this ribosomal RNA (735 nucleotides) under Gillisia sp. CAL575. RNAcentral describes it as "bacterial SSU rRNA". It matches the Rfam family "Bacterial small subunit ribosomal RNA", at positions 72 to 805 of the family's 1533-position model. The record is from RNAcentral. Lineage: Bacteria; Pseudomonadati; Bacteroidota; Flavobacteriia; Flavobacteriales; Flavobacteriaceae.
CGGGUUGCUUGCACCGCCGACGACCGGCGCACGGGUGCGUAACGCGUAUACAAUCUACCUUGUAGAGGGGAAUAGCCCAGAGAAAUUUGGAUUAAUGCCCCAUAGUAUUAUGAAAUAGCAUUAUUUUAUAAUUAAACAUUUAUGGCUACAAGAUGAGUAUGCGUUCUAUUAGUUAGUAGGUAAGGUAACGGCUUACCUAGACUUCGAUAGAUAGGGGUCCUGAGAGGGAGAUCCCCCACACUGGUACUGAGACACGGACCAGACUCCUACGGGAGGCAGCAGUGAGGAAUAUUGGACAAUGGGCGAGAGCCUGAUCCAGCCAUGCCGCGUGCAGGAAGACGGCCCUAUGGGUUGUAAACUGCUUUUAUAGAGGAAGAAACACUCCCACGUGUGGGAGCUUGACGGUACUCUACGAAUAAGGAUCGGCUAACUCCGUGCCAGCAGCCGCGGUAAUACGGAGGAUCCAAGCGUUAUCCGGAAUCAUUGGGUUUAAAGGGUCCGUAGGCGGGACAAUCAGUCAGCGGUGAAAGUCUGUGGCUCAACCAUAGAAUUGCCAUUGAUACUGUUGUUCUUGAAUACUUAUGAAGUGGUUGGAAUAUGUAGUGUAGCGGUGAAAUGCAUAGAUAUUACAUAGAACACCGAUUGCGAAGGCAGAUCACUAAUAAGUCAUUGACGCUGAUGGACGAAAGCGUAGGUAGCGAACAGGAUUAGAUACCCUGGUAGUCUACGCCGUAA